Molecule: long non-coding RNA, 695 nt
Organism: Pleuronectes platessa (European plaice)
Lineage: Eukaryota; Metazoa; Chordata; Actinopteri; Pleuronectiformes; Pleuronectidae
Exons: 3
Source: RefSeq, a predicted model, not a curated record
UAAACAGCAUGGACACUUAUUUGUCUGUUAUAGUGAGCUCUUGUUCUGCGGCUGAAUGCUGGUUUGCUGCUGAUAUACUGAAGAAAAACAGCAAGAAAUCUCUGAAUGACAUACACACCUGAACGACUAAUGGAUGGCAACACACACAUCUGGUGCAGGCAUGCAGAGCUGUCUUUUCAACCCGCCAGGCUCCUUUGUGUGGCCACAGAAGAGAGGCAGAUCCACUCAAGGUGAAUAGUGACCAAUCUAUACCUUCCACCAUUCGACCAGAGAUUUACCUGGCCAUGCCCAGACUGGAGAACCCUGCUGGAACAAUGAGAACGUCAAGGCGGGGAAAGGGAUGGACCCCCAGAACGGCAUGGGCUGCAGCCAGGCAUCGAGGCAACAGCUGAAGGACUGCCAUCUACAAGAGGAAAGCAUUAAACAGAACAGGGUUUUACUUGAAUCAGAUGUGUGCAUGGGUAAGAUUUACAUUUACAAUAGUUGGAGAGUUUAUGUAUCUGCUGAGAGUUUGUGUAUUUGCUGCAUGUCUAUGAUGGUUCUAUGGUCCAGAUCAAUUCCAAGUCAACUGCACUUUCUGUUUUUAUGCUACAAUGUGUUGCCUCUCAUCUUUGAGGCCCCAUAAAAUCCAAAUUAACUAAAUGUGCAGAAGCUUUUGACCUCAUAUGAUCAAUGUUAUUCCAUUUAGAGUUUCA